UUCUACUUAAAUGGUUUCACAUAAACAAUGCUGAUAAUUAAAUUGUGAAAUGUUAUUGACAAAACACAAAGAAUUAUGGCUCAGAGUGAUGUAGAGUUGUGCAUGUGUGUGUGUGUGUGUGUGUGUGUGUGUGUGUGUGUGUGUUAUCAUCAAAUCAAACCGUUCAAUUACUAAAUCAUCAUCAUCACAGCUGUUUUCAUCAAUACAGUUAUGAUUUUGAAUGUAAAUUCCCUCUCAGUCAUCUCUACUGGCAGAUAGAGAAUCAUUAGUUUCGUUUGUAUCUCAUAACACAUCCUCUUAUUCUAAUGACUGUCUCAACACAAACAUAAAACCCUGCACACUGGCGACACCUUACAUUUUACUAAGAUGGGUUUUAGAGAUUU
Thalassophryne amazonica is the source of this 383-nucleotide long non-coding RNA. RefSeq lists it as uncharacterized. The record is from RefSeq and is a predicted model, not a curated record. Lineage: Eukaryota; Metazoa; Chordata; Actinopteri; Batrachoidiformes; Batrachoididae. The transcript has 2 exons.